Molecule: ribosomal RNA, 333 nt
Filed under: Triticum aestivum (bread wheat)
Lineage: Eukaryota; Viridiplantae; Streptophyta; Magnoliopsida; Poales; Poaceae
Description: partial small subunit ribosomal RNA
Source: RNAcentral
AUGAGUCGCCGAAUUCAGGCUGCCACUGUCGAGGAUGAAGACGACCUACCGGGCUGCCUUGCUCGGGGACAACCACGAUGCAAGGGAAAACAACGCCGCCAGCAUCCUCACAAUCGAUGUGGAUCCAAGCUGGCUCCGGGAGACGAGAUCCACGCCCACAUCGCCUCCAAGGACGCUAACGACGACGACACAGUCAAGAUCGGCAAGCUCGCAUCCUCCAUGGCGCGGCUUCUCAUCGAGCCCUACUGCCCCUCCGUCUCUGUUGACCGGCCUGAGAGAUCGAGGAGGCGUACAGCGAGCCAAACUAGGCUCACCCCGUGGCCGCACCAGUGA